AACGAACGCUGGCGGCAGGCCUAAAACAUGCAAGUCGAACGCCCCGCAAGGGGAGUGGCGCACGGGUGAGUAACGCGUGGGAACGUGCCCUUCACUACGGGACAACGUCGGGAAACUGACGCUAAUACCGUAUAAUGACUCCGGUCCAAAGAUUUAUCGGUGAAGGAGCGGCCCGCGUCUGAUUAGUUUGUUGGUGGGGUAAUGGCCUACCAAGACUACGAUCAGUAGCAGGUCUGAGAGGAUGAUCUGCCACACUGGGACUGAGACACGGCCCAGACUCCUACGGGAGGCAGCAGUUAGGAAUAUUGGACAAUGGGCGAAAGCCUGAUCCAGCCAUGCCGCGUGUGUGAUGAAGGCCUUAGGGUUGUAAAGCACUUUCGUUGGGGAUGAUAAUGACGGUACCCAAAGAAGAAGCACCGGCUAACUUCGUGCCAGCCGCCGCCGUAA
This 447-nucleotide ribosomal RNA is filed under the name uncultured bacterium. RNAcentral's name for it is "partial 16S ribosomal RNA". It matches the Rfam family "Bacterial small subunit ribosomal RNA", at positions 29 to 523 of the family's 1533-position model. The record is from RNAcentral.